UACAGGGGGUGCAAACGUUGCUCGGAAUCAUUGGGCGUAAAGGGCGCGUAGGCGGCUUGCACCGUCAGAUGUGAAAUUCCUGGGCUUAACCUGGGGGCUGCAUUUGAUACGUGUGGGCUUGAGUGCGGAAGAGGGUCGUGGAAUUCCCAGUGUAGAGGUGAAAUUCGUAGAUAUUGGGAAGAACACCAGUGGCGAAGGCGACUUACUGGACACAUAUUGACGCUGAGGUGCGAAAGCGUGGGGAGCAAACAGG
Molecule: ribosomal RNA, 253 nt
Filed under: uncultured bacterium
Lineage: Bacteria
Description: partial 16S ribosomal RNA
Rfam family: Bacterial small subunit ribosomal RNA
Source: RNAcentral